ACAGAGGAGCCAAGCGUUGUCCGGAUUGACUGGGCGUAAAGCGCACGCAGGCGGAUGCGCGCGUGGGGUGUGAAAUCUGGCCGCUUAACGGCCAGGCGCCAUCCCAUACGGCGCGUCUGGAGUGAUGCAGAGGUCGAUGGAAUUGCCGGUGUAGUGGUGAAAUGCGUAGAGAUCGAGAGGAACACCAGUGGCGAAGGCGAGUCCCUGGACGACUCCUGACACUGAGGCACGAAAGCUAGGGGAGCAAACAGGA
RNAcentral lists this ribosomal RNA (253 nucleotides) under uncultured prokaryote. RNAcentral's name for it is "partial 16S ribosomal RNA". It matches the Rfam family "Bacterial small subunit ribosomal RNA", at positions 525 to 777 of the family's 1533-position model. The record is from RNAcentral.